GUGCUACGCUGUUAGAACAAUUCAUCUGAGCAUUCAGGUGUUACCUAUUAUAAGCUGCCAAAAGACCAAGCAGUGCGAAGCUCUUGGCUGACAGUGGUGCCUGCUAAUUUCCACUGCAAGGAUUUCGUCCACGAAUGUUAUCAUAGGUUACGCGCGACUCCAGAGGCAAUUUGGAAUCUCGGCACGAAAUCGCCUGAUGAAAAUCUGAGGUGCCCGACGCACAACAUUUUGAACGUGCCACGGAGGAUCAAGGCAAAAAAACGAGAGCAAAAAAAGGUGCACGCUGAAGGCGUAAAUGAAGCAUGAUGUGGCUUGCAUCUGGUGCAUGAAGAAAUUGCUGACACGUUAGUUGCAGUCUACCUCCACCAACAGGGUGGAAAACAAAGGUCGCCAUUCCGA
Ornithodoros turicata is the source of this 399-nucleotide long non-coding RNA. RefSeq lists it as uncharacterized. The record is from RefSeq and is a predicted model, not a curated record. Lineage: Eukaryota; Metazoa; Arthropoda; Arachnida; Ixodida; Argasidae. The transcript has 3 exons.